GGCCUACGGGCGGCUGCAGUGGGGAAUAUUGCACAAUGGGCGAAAGCCUGAUGCAGCAACGCCGCGUGAGUGAAGAAGGCCUUCGGGUUGUAAAGCUCUGUCUUUUGGGACGAUAAUGACGGUACCAAAGGAGGAAGCCACGGCUAACUACGUGCCAGCAGCCGCGGUAAUACGUAGGUGGCAAGCGUUGUCCGGAUUUACUGGGCGUAAAGGAUGCGUAGGUGGAUAUUUAAGUGGGAUGUGAAAUACCCGGGCUUAACUUGGGUGCUGCAUUCCAAACUGGAUAUCUAGAGUGCAGGAGAGGAAAGCGGAAUUCCUAGUGUAGCGGUGAAAUGCGUAGAGAUUAGGAAGAACACCAGUGGCGAAGGCGGCUUUCUGGACUGUAACUGACACUGAGGCAUGAAAGCGUGGGGAGCAAACAGGAUUAGAUACCCGAGUAGUC
RNAcentral lists this ribosomal RNA (442 nucleotides) under uncultured Clostridium sp. RNAcentral's name for it is "bacterial SSU rRNA". It matches the Rfam family "Bacterial small subunit ribosomal RNA", at positions 335 to 795 of the family's 1533-position model. The record is from RNAcentral. Lineage: Bacteria; Bacillati; Bacillota; Clostridia; Eubacteriales; Clostridiaceae.